CCUACGGGUGGCUGCAGUGGGGAAUAUUGGACAAUGGGCGAAAGCCUGAUCCAGCCAUGCCGCGUGUGUGAAGAAGGCCUUCGGGUUGUAAAGCACUUUCAGUGGGGAAGAAAGCCUUGGGGCUAAUACCCUCGAGGAAGGACAUCACCCACAGAAGAAGCACCGGCUAACUCCGUGCCAGCAGCCGCGGUAAUACGGAGGGUGCGAGCGUUAAUCGGAAUUACUGGGCGUAAAGCGCGCGUAGGCGGUCUGAUAAGCCGGUUGUGAAAGCCCCGGGCUCAACCUGGGAACGGCAUCCGGAACUGUCAGGCUAGAGUGCAGGAGAGGAAGGUAGAAUUCCCGGUGUAGCGGUGAAAUGCGUAGAGAUCGGGAGGAAUACCAGUGGCGAAGGCGGCCUUCUGGACUGACACUGACGCUGAGGUGCGAAAGCGUGGGUAGCAAACAGGAUUAGAUCCCCCAGUAGUC
Molecule: ribosomal RNA, 465 nt
Filed under: Vreelandella stevensii
Lineage: Bacteria; Pseudomonadati; Pseudomonadota; Gammaproteobacteria; Oceanospirillales; Halomonadaceae
Description: partial 16S ribosomal RNA
Rfam family: Bacterial small subunit ribosomal RNA
Source: RNAcentral